UCUGAUUCCUUCUCAUGAUUUGCAUCUUAGUCCAAAUGUUACUUCUUCAGAGAGGAAUCUUUUGACUGCAUUAUCUACAAAGAUAUGCUCACCUACCUAGCACUGCUGUGUUUUUCUCUGUAAUAGGUGUCAGCACAUUAAGGCCUCAGGUGAACCACAGCCCAACAGUUGGUUUUCUAAAUAAAAAGUUUCAUUGGAAUACAGCCACACUAUUCAUUUGUUUAGUAUUGUCUAUGGCUGCUUUCACUCUUGAAGUGGCAGAGUUGGUAGU
Molecule: long non-coding RNA, 271 nt
Filed under: Pan troglodytes (chimpanzee)
Lineage: Eukaryota; Metazoa; Chordata; Mammalia; Primates; Hominidae
Description: long non-coding RNA NONPTRT002015
Source: RNAcentral